CGUAGGGUGCAGGCGUUAAUCGGAAUUACUGGGCGUAAAGCGUGCGCAGGCGGCUCCUUAAGUCAGAUGUGAAAGCCCCGGGCUUAACCUGGGAACUGCGUUUGAAACUGGGGAGCUGGAGUGUAGAAGAGGGGGGUGGAAUUCCAGGUGUAGCAGUGAAAUGCGUAGAGAUCUGGAGGAACACCGAUGGCGAAGGCAGCCCCCUGGGCUAACACUGACGCUCAUGCACGAAAGCGUGGGGAGCAAACAGGAUUAGAUACCCUGGUAGUCCACGCCCUAAACGAUGUCAACUGGUUGUCGGGGAAGUAAUUCCUUGGUAACGAAGCUAACGCGUGAAGUUGACCGCCUGGGGAGUACGGCCGCAAGGCUA
This 370-nucleotide ribosomal RNA is filed under the name uncultured organism. RNAcentral describes it as "bacterial SSU rRNA". It matches the Rfam family "Bacterial small subunit ribosomal RNA", at positions 526 to 896 of the family's 1533-position model. The record is from RNAcentral.